AGCUUUAUAGUCAAUAUAAUAAUGAUAUUAGACUGCAAUUCUAAAGUAGGUUAAUUUACCUAAAGCUU
This 68-nucleotide transfer RNA is filed under the name Eurydema maracandica. RNAcentral's name for it is "tRNA-Cys". Lineage: Eukaryota; Metazoa; Arthropoda; Insecta; Hemiptera; Pentatomidae. The record is from RNAcentral.